AGCGAACGCUGGCGGCAGGCCUAACACAUGCAAGUCGAACGAACUCGCCGGAGUUAGUGGCGGACGGGGGUGGAACACGGGGGAAGGUGCCUGUUGGUUCGGAAUAACUCAGUGUAACUUGUGCUAAUACCGAAUGUGCUCUUCGGGGGAAAGAUUUAUCGCCAUUGGCUCGGCCCGGGUCUGAUUAGCUAGUUGGUGAGGUAACGGCUCACCAAGGCGACGAUCAGUAGCUGGUCGGAGAGGAUGCCCCGCCACACUGGGGCUGAGGCACGGCCCAGAAUGCUACGGGACGGAGCGGAGGGGAGUCUUGCGCAAUGGGCGAAAGUCUGGCACAGCCAUGCCGCGUAAAUGAUGAUGGUCUUAGGAUUGUAAAAUUCUUUCACCGGGGACGAUAAUGACGGUAACCGGAGAAGAAGCCCCGGCUAACUUCGUG
RNAcentral lists this ribosomal RNA (433 nucleotides) under uncultured bacterium. RNAcentral describes it as "partial 16S ribosomal RNA". It matches the Rfam family "Bacterial small subunit ribosomal RNA", at positions 29 to 507 of the family's 1533-position model. The record is from RNAcentral.